AUGAUUCCAGGACCUGGAAUCAUACCAGCCGAUGGAUGUUGUGCAGAAGCCAUAUAUAUACGACUAUACCAUAUAACUGGGAUUAACCGAUGCAAGUCAAAGAAGGAUUGGUCAGUGCUGUCGGCUGGCGUCAAGUUCAAUCCCGCGGAUCAGGAGCUGAUCGAGCACCUUGAGGCCAAAGUGAGUGCUGAUAGCGCGAGAUCUCACCCUCUCAUCAAUUUGUUGAUACCAACCAUCGAUAGCGAGGACGACAUAUGCUACACCCAUCCUGAGAAACUUCCAGGUAUCACACUGAGUGGCCUAAGCAAGCAUUUCUUCCAGCGCAAUUCAAGGGCAUUCAAAAGGGGCACAUGGACGCGUCGCAAGAUACAGUCGGAGUGUGUCAUGCACGAGAUGUGGCACAAGACCGGCAAUACCUUGCCGGUGAUGGUCAAUGGCCGGCAGACCAGCAGCAUAAAGGUUCUGGUGCUGCACACCAACAAGAACUUCGACCAGCAGAGGACCAACUGGGUGAUGCACCAGUACCACCUCGGGGACCUGGAUAAAGAGAAGGAGCGGGAGCUGGUCCUCUGCAAGAUUUUCUACCAGACAAACACUAGGGCCAGGAGUAAAAAGAUUAUAAGUUAG
Molecule: ribosomal RNA, 627 nt
Filed under: Triticum aestivum (bread wheat)
Lineage: Eukaryota; Viridiplantae; Streptophyta; Magnoliopsida; Poales; Poaceae
Description: partial small subunit ribosomal RNA
Source: RNAcentral